GGCUCAAGUUCGGGAGGCGUUACCUGCGGAGGGUUUGAGGCAGGUCCAGGAGCGAGCCCACGGUCCGCCGACGCGGGACCAGGGGCGGGCCCCAGGAUCCGGAGCUUCGGGCGGGGCCGAGUCCGGGUUUGGGGCCCGGAAGGCGGGGCCAGUUAGGGCGAGGGUCCCUGGGAUCGUCAGGUCAGGCCUUGGGCUAACGUAGGCACUCUCGCAGUUCCUCCGCCUUCAGGAAAGUCUUUUUAGCAGGGGCCUUACGGGUUCGCGCUUUGGUCCUGGAGGCCUUAUCCUAGCCUCCUCUCCAUCAGCGCCACCAGUCUGGGGCCCGAAAGGAGGGAGCUUUCCCUCUGUCCCCCAGCCUUUGGACUGUCACCAAACAAGCCAUUCGUUCACCAAAUACUUAUUAAGCGCCUACCAUGUGCCUGACAAGGGAGAUGUAACGCUGUUGUUCCCCACCAGAACCAAAUGAGCGCAAGAUCUGACAAAGAAAAAAAGAAGUUCAUCUUUUAUUCCCCCAAACCCUUUCAUUUAAAUCAAGAGGGUGGGAUGUGGUUAUUGCUGUGUUUUUAGGCAGAAUCAACGGUUUCUGGGUCUGAGAAGUUGCAUACACACUCUCAGUCCCUGUAUCCUGAGAUGGAGUCACCUGAGGAUCCACAGCAAGUCCUAACCAGGGAUGGGUCUGGGUGAUUAAGGAAGGUUGGCUUCAGAACUGGGCCAGAGGCACUGCUUUGCUUUUGCUGUUUUGAUCAGCUCUGUGCCUGCAUGAGACAAGGAAAAUCAAUGGGAACAGCCCAGUAAAGUCGCCAUUCCCCAUUUUACAGCUGGGGAAACUGAGUUACAGAGCUUUUCUGCACUGAGUCAUCAGGAGCAAAUGCUAGAUCAGAUAGGGUCUCUCUCUCUGCCACCCAGGCCAGAGUGCAGUUGACGCAGGGCAGGGGAGCCCCGAAGUGGAGCAUAGUGUGUCCGGAACUGGUGGGUUCUUGGUCUCACUGACUUCAAGAAAGAAGCCGCGGACCCUCGCAAGACGGGGUCUUGCUCUGUUGCUCAAGCUG
Homo sapiens (human) is the source of this 1049-nucleotide long non-coding RNA. RefSeq annotates it as family with sequence similarity 85 member A. NCBI's taxonomy places the organism in Eukaryota, Metazoa, Chordata, Mammalia, Primates, Hominidae. The record is from RefSeq and is marked validated. The transcript has 5 exons.